UACAGAGGUCCCAAGCGUUGUUCGGAUUCACUGGGCGUAAAGGGUGCGUAGGCGGGUUCUUAAGUCAGAGGUGAAAUCCUGGAGCUCAACUCCAGAACUGCCUUUGAUACUGAGAGUCUUGAGUUCGGGAGAGGUGAGUGGAACUGCGAGUGUAGAGGUGAAAUUCGUAGAUAUUCGCAAGAACACCUGUGGCGAAGGCGGCUCACUGGCCCGAUACUGACGCUGAGGCACGAAAGCGUGGGGAGCAAACAGG
RNAcentral lists this ribosomal RNA (253 nucleotides) under uncultured bacterium. RNAcentral's name for it is "partial 16S ribosomal RNA". It matches the Rfam family "Bacterial small subunit ribosomal RNA", at positions 524 to 776 of the family's 1533-position model. The record is from RNAcentral.